AUCGCUGUCUAUCUAUCUAUCUAUCUAUCUAUCUAUCUAUCUAUCUAUCUAUCUAUCUAUCUAUCUAUCUAUCUAUCUAUCUAUCUAUUUAUUUACAUUUUUGUUACUUUCACAUUUUGUGCUCCGGAAACUGAGAACUUUCUUUUAGCUCGUGCUUCCGGUUGAUGAAGUGGAACUAUAAAUGCUGAGAGGCUCGUGCAAGCUGUUCUGCUAGCAGGUCAUUGAUAUCGGUUUGUUUCCAGAGUUCAUGCUCAUCUUCCCGUGUCAUGGAUCAGACACCUGACCCUUGCUUGGCAGCCAUGUCCAGUUGAAGCUUAUUUGUUACCGAGGACAUGAACGACUCUAACAUUCGGACCCCGUGAUGCCGAAGAGACGCAACGUCAGCGGAUGGGCUCAUGAUAUCGCUUCACUACCGAUGAUGGCGAUUACUAUGAGGAAGGCCAUGUGAGGGCGCUGCUGAGGGCGAGCGAGGAGCACGUGGCCACACACACACAUCCUGAAAUCAGGGGAAUAGUGAAGCUGUUUGGUUUAUAUUUACACACAAGGAAAAGUGCCUUUACACCCUUUACACCUGUAAUGUCAGAGUCAGAGAUGUUAGAGCAGUUUACUAAGUGUGUGUGUGUGUGUGUGUGUGUGUGUGUGUGAUGUGGGCUUCUAAGGUUUUAUAAGGUCUAUAAUCCUAUUACUGUAUACAAACACAGGAUAAGGCAAUAAUUUUAUUUAUUUCAGUCCCGUAAAUCUGAAGAAAAAAAAAAUCUGGUUCCUGCCAACUCAGAUAUAAACGUACACUGUGAGUGAUUUUUAAAUGCACUGCUUUAUAUGACUGAAGACGCAAAAAGCAUUUUUGUGACGAUUGGAGCCGAGAAUCAGCGCUCAGAACAGAAUGUUGUGGUGUGAUUCUGUUCAUAUCAAACCAUUAUGUUUUAUCUCUGUGUUGUUUUUGUCUUCUUAUGAAAUGUGUAUUAUGAAAUAUUCAAAGCACGCACACACACACACACACACUCUCUUAAGGGCAUGUUAAAUCACCUCGACAUAGACACAGGCAACAGGAAGAUAUGCUCAGUCACAGAGUACCAGUGUGAAACCUCCAACCACCAGCAACAUAGCCAGCAUUUUUUAUGCUCAAAUACACACAACCAAACACACGCUUCUCCUGAUCAGUUUAGUAAAGCCUUGGGUCACAGCACAGCAGAAGGAUUCAGUGUUGAGGAUUAAACCUGAGGAACCAAGACCUCUGUUAGUAAGUGCUUGUAGAGUAGUGGGAAAGUGUUUGCCUCUCAAGCCUGAAAGUGCUGGUUCAAGGCUCUUCUUGGUUGUGUUUCUCCUUUUUCUGCAAAAAAUGAUAAGUAUACUAAACAAGUAGCUGGCUUUCAGGCUCAGACGGUGGUUCAGUUAGAUAAGUAAGAGUCUAGUUGCUGUUAGAGGGUGUGGACGUGCUGGGUUCGGUUCCCUGCUAGAACUAUAUUGUGAGCCUUUAAUGAUAUGUUAAAAUUUUAGACCAAGAUUUAAUUUAAUUAGACCAAGACUUAAUUACAGCAAGUAGAAAUGUGUGUUUACAUAAAUUAAUUAC
This is a long non-coding RNA of Tachysurus fulvidraco (yellow catfish), 1570 nucleotides long. RefSeq lists it as uncharacterized. The record is from RefSeq and is a predicted model, not a curated record. NCBI's taxonomy places the organism in Eukaryota, Metazoa, Chordata, Actinopteri, Siluriformes, Bagridae. The transcript is spliced from 3 exons.